This 92-nucleotide ribosomal RNA is filed under the name Proteiniclasticum sp. The record is from RNAcentral. Lineage: Bacteria; Bacillati; Bacillota; Clostridia; Eubacteriales; Clostridiaceae.
CACCCGUUCCCAUUCCGAACACGACGGUUAAGCCUCAAGGAGCCCAUGAUACUGCAGGGGAAGCCCUGUGGGAAAGUAGGUCGUCGCCAGUU